RNAcentral lists this ribosomal RNA (240 nucleotides) under Triticum aestivum (bread wheat). RNAcentral describes it as "partial small subunit ribosomal RNA". The record is from RNAcentral. Lineage: Eukaryota; Viridiplantae; Streptophyta; Magnoliopsida; Poales; Poaceae.
AUGGCAAUUGUCCAUACCUACGGGAAGCCUGACAUCUUCUUGACCAUGACCUACAACCCUAACUGGGAAGAGAUAACGAAUGAGUUGUUUCCUGGUCAGACAGCACAAGACCGACCUGAUCUUGUGGCUCGUGUGUUCCAUGGCAAGCUAGAGGCUAUGAAAGAGAUGUUGUUCAAGAAGAAUAUCCUGGGUGUUGUUGUCGCACAUGCAUACGUAGUCGAGUUCCAGAAGAGGGGCCUC